Melospiza melodia melodia is the source of this 1005-nucleotide long non-coding RNA. RefSeq lists it as uncharacterized. The record is from RefSeq and is a predicted model, not a curated record. The transcript has 3 exons. NCBI's taxonomy places the organism in Eukaryota, Metazoa, Chordata, Aves, Passeriformes, Passerellidae.
CCGAGCUGCAGCCGUCUCCCUCGGGCUGCUGCCGGUGCUGCGGGCGGAGGCGGCUCCGCCGCGUGUUGGGCGCUGCGAGCAGGGAGCGCUGCGGUAUCGCCGGCAUGGCGGGGCUGCUGCCUGCGUUAGUGCCCGUGGCUCUUUGUGCCGUGACAGCGGAUGGAGCGGCGCUGGGCGGUAAAGCCAGAGAUGGCCGGGAGAAUGCCCAGCGCAGGGAGCGGGCGGGCUGUGUGCUUCGGAUGGCACAGGUGCGAGCUGCAAAGCCACCCCCCCUUCCGCCCCUGCCCUCCCGAGCCCCAGGGAAAAUGCUUUCCAGCAUUGUCGAGCUUCUGAAAGACAAAACUUGUGAUUUGACACUUGCAUCCAGAAAAGGUUUCUGUCUAGAUUAGCAAAUGCCUCAAUUGUUCUUGGUUACAUCCCAUGACCGGUUUCAGGCAGCGACUUUAUAAUGCCUUUAGGAUUUUCUUGUACAAUGGUGAGAAAACAGGCAGGUCUGAUAGUGGUUUCACUUUUUUUUCUACUUCACGUUCCAUAAGAUUCUUUUAUGCAAGCACUUGUUUUAAAAUUCUACUGUAAGCGUUUAUGGUUCACUUUUUUUUUCUUUGCAGCACCCGUGACUUUUUUUUCCCUCUAAAUCGGGAGUAAAUAUAGCUGAGUAAAAUUACCUUGAUUUUCUUCCUUCUUUUUUAACUGAAUUGUUUUUAUUAAAAAUGCUAUUUGAAUAUGUAGAAAAAGUGGGGAUGUCUUGUAAUAUAUCGUAGCUUUUCUUGUUUACAGGAUACUCAGAAAAUAUGUCUCCCUUAGAGUCCCACAGAAACGUUCUCAGUGCGAUCUCUAUCAAGUGCUAUGAGUCUUGAUCAAUUGGAGAAGAGCCCAAGAGAAAUUUUUCAUCCCUUGAUAUAAAAGGGAUCGGUGAAUUUUAACUUUGGAGUCCCCUAUGCUAAGGAUGCUCAGCUUACAGGUGAUGAAAUGUUCAGUAAUGGUGAGUUUUUCACCUUCUCUUUA